RNAcentral lists this ribosomal RNA (252 nucleotides) under uncultured bacterium. RNAcentral describes it as "partial 16S ribosomal RNA". It matches the Rfam family "Bacterial small subunit ribosomal RNA", at positions 80 to 334 of the family's 1533-position model. The record is from RNAcentral.
CCAAAAGCUGGCGACCGGCGCACGGGUGAGUAACACGUAUCCAACCUGCCUCAUACUCAGGGAUAGCCUUUCGAAAGAAAGAUUAAUAUCCGAUAGCAUAUAUUUCCCGCAUGGGUUUUAUAUUAAAGAAAUUCGGUAUGAGAUGGGGAUGCGUUCCAUUAGUUUGUUGGGGGGGUAACGGCCCACCAAGACUACGAUGGAUAGGGGUUCUGAGAGGAAGGUCCCCCACAUUGGAACUGAGACACGGUCCAA